UUACGGAAGGCAGCAGUAAGGAAUAUUGCGCAAUGGGCGAAAGCCAGACGCAGCAACGCCGCGUGGACGAUGAAGGCCUUCGGGUCGUAAAGUCCUUUUCAGGGGGACGAGCAGGGACGGUACCCCUGGAAUAAGUCACGGCUAACUACGUGCCAGCAGCCGCGGUAAAACGUAGGUGGCGAGCGUUAUCCGGAUUCACUGGGCGUAAAGGGCCUGCAGGCGGCUCGGUAAGUGGGAUGUGAAAUCUCCCGGCUCAACUGGGAGGGGUCACUCCAUACUGCCGGGCUGGAGGGCAGAAGAGGGAAGUGGAAUUCCCGGUGUAGUGGUGAAAUGCGUAGAUAUCGGGAGGAACACCAGUGGCGAAGGCGACUUCCUGGUCUGCACCUGACGCUAAGAGGCGAAAGCUAGGGGAGCGAAGGGGAUUAGAUACCCGGGUAU
RNAcentral lists this ribosomal RNA (438 nucleotides) under uncultured bacterium. RNAcentral describes it as "bacterial SSU rRNA". It matches the Rfam family "Bacterial small subunit ribosomal RNA", at positions 339 to 793 of the family's 1533-position model. The record is from RNAcentral.